RNAcentral lists this ribosomal RNA (433 nucleotides) under uncultured bacterium. Its description in RNAcentral is "partial 16S ribosomal RNA". It matches the Rfam family "Bacterial small subunit ribosomal RNA", at positions 29 to 507 of the family's 1533-position model. The record is from RNAcentral.
AACGAACGCUGGCGGCAUGCCUAACACAUGCAAGUCGAACGAGACCUUCGGGUCUAGUGGCGCACGGGUGCGUAACGCGUGGGAACCUGCCCUUAGGUUCGGAAUAACUCCCUGAAAGGGGUGCUAAUACCGGAUAAUGUCUUCGGACCAAAGAUCUAUCGCCUUUGGAUGGGCCCGCGUUGGUUUAGCUAGUUGGUAGGGUAAAAGCCUACCAAGGCGACGAUCCAUAGCUGGUCUGAGAGGAUGAUCAGCCACACUGGGACUGAGACACGGCCCAGACUCCUACGGGAGGCAGGAGUGGGGAAUAUAGGACAAUGGGCGAAAGCCUGAUCCAGCAAUGCCGCGUGAGUGAUGAAGGCCUUAGGGUUGUAAAGCUCUUUUACCCGGGAUGAUAAUGACAGUACCGGGAGAAUAAGCUCCGGCUAACUCCGUG